GCUGGGUGUGGUGGCAUACGCCUGUAGUCCCAGCUACUUGGGGGCUGAGGUGGGAGAAUUGCUUGAGCCUAGAAGUUCAAGGCUGCAGUGAGCCAUGAUCUUGCCACUGCACUCUGGUCUGGGUGACAGAGCCAGACCUUGUCUCAA
Molecule: non-coding RNA, 147 nt
Filed under: Nomascus leucogenys (northern white-cheeked gibbon)
Lineage: Eukaryota; Metazoa; Chordata; Mammalia; Primates; Hylobatidae
Source: Rfam by way of RNAcentral